This 373-nucleotide ribosomal RNA is filed under the name uncultured organism. RNAcentral describes it as "bacterial SSU rRNA". It matches the Rfam family "Bacterial small subunit ribosomal RNA", at positions 526 to 896 of the family's 1533-position model. The record is from RNAcentral.
CGUAGGGUGCAAGCGUUAUCCGGAAUUAUUGGGCGUAAAGAGCUCGUAGGCGGUUUGUCGCGUCUGCUGUGAAACCCCGAGGCUCAACCUCGGGCCUGCAGUGGGUACGGGCAGACUAGAGUGCGGUAGGGGAGAUUGGAAUUCCUGGUGUAGCGGUGGAAUGCGCAGAUAUCAGGAGGAACACCGAUGGCGAAGGCAGAUCUCUGGGCCGUAACUGACGCUGAGGAGCGAAAGGGUGGGGAGCAAACAGGCUUAGAUACCCUGGUAGUCCACCCCGUAAACGUUGGGAACUAGUUGUGGGGUCCAUUCCACGGAUUCCGUGACGCAGCUAACGCAUUAAGUUCCCCGCCUGGGGAGUACGGCCGCAAGGCUA